This 504-nucleotide ribosomal RNA is filed under the name uncultured bacterium. RNAcentral's name for it is "partial 16S ribosomal RNA". It matches the Rfam family "Bacterial small subunit ribosomal RNA", at positions 28 to 523 of the family's 1533-position model. The record is from RNAcentral.
GAUGAACGCUAGCGGCAGGCUUAAUACAUGCAAGUCGUGGGGCAGCAGGACUGUAGCAAUACAGUUGCUGGCGACCGGCAAACGGGUGCGGAACACGUACGCAAUCUACCCAGAACUGGUGAAUAGCCCUCCGAAAGGAGGAUUAAUACACCGUAAUAUUAUAAAGUGGCAUCACUUAAUAAUUAAAGCUCCGGCGGUUUUGGAUGAGCGUGCGGCCCAUUAGGUAGUUGGUUGAGGUAAUGGCUCCACAAGCCUGCGAUGGGUAACUGGUGUGAGAGCACGACCAGUCACACGGGCACUGAGACACGGGCCCGACUCCUACGGGAGGCAGCAGUAAGGAAUAUUGGCCAAUGGACGCAAGUCUGAACCAGCCAUGCCGCGUGGAGGAUGAAGGCCCUCUGGGUUGUAAACUUCUUUUAUGGGGGACGAAAUCACUUAUUCUUAAGUGUCUGACGGUACCCCAGGAAUAAGCACCGGCUAACUCCGUGCCAGCCGCCGCAGUAA